Molecule: long non-coding RNA, 558 nt
Organism: Motacilla alba alba
Lineage: Eukaryota; Metazoa; Chordata; Aves; Passeriformes; Motacillidae
Exons: 4
Source: RefSeq, a predicted model, not a curated record
GCUCCCUGACCUCUGCUGUGACUGCUACCUAGCCAGGUUAUGAGAGGAGACCCUAUAAUCUAUGUAGUGGUGUCAGCAGAAGUUUGUGAAGAGAAUCCAAUGGAAGGAAAGUUUGGAGUUGAAGAAUUCAAGGGAGUCAAUGAUUGUUACCCCUUUUGGCCCCAAACAGAAUAGACAUCUCAUCUUUUGAUGAUAUGCACAUUCAAUACUUGGUCUACCGAGAAGCUGGUGGAAUCACUUUCAAUUGAUGUAAUUCAGCAGCUGAUCUUCAGCUUGCCUUCUUCAUUUUUAAUCCAUUUCUGGACUAAGUGAUUCAGAGAAACCGGAGAUGCUGUUUUUUGGGGGAGAAGGAUUAACAUAAAGUGAAGAAGAGAAAAGAAAUAAAGUUUUCUCUCUUCUGAGAUUCUUCGAAGAUGGAACAUCUUGGAUAUUAGUAACUACAUCUCCUUUUAAUUUAGAAGAAUAUUUAUAAAAUUUUAAUGAGUGGGUUUUGCAAACAGCAAGCAGAGAAAGUGGAUUUAUACCUGCAGAAAUCCAUUUUACAUUGGACAGUAUUUC